CGCACGGGUGAGUAACGCGUGGGUAACCUGCCUUUGAAUCUGGGAUAACCCCGUGAAAACGGGACUAAUACUGGAUAAUGUCCCCUUGGCUUUGGCCUUAGGGAUGAAAGGUGACCUCUUCAUGAAAGUUGCCGUUCAAAGAGGGGCCCGCGUACCAUUAGCUUGUUGGUGGGGUAACGGCCUACCAAGGCUACGAUGGUCAGCUGGUCUGAGAGGAUGAUCAGCCACACUGGAACUGGAACACGGUCCAG
Molecule: ribosomal RNA, 251 nt
Filed under: uncultured bacterium
Lineage: Bacteria
Description: partial 16S ribosomal RNA
Rfam family: Bacterial small subunit ribosomal RNA
Source: RNAcentral